AGUCGAGCGGUAGAGAGAAGCUUGCUUCUCUUGAGAGCGGCGGACGGGUGAGUAAUGCCUAGGAAUCUGCCUGGUAGUGGGGGAUAACGUUCGGAAACGGACGCUAAUACCGCAUACGUCCUACGGGAGAAAGCAGGGGACCUUCGGGCCUUGCGCUAUCAGAUGAGCCUAGGUCGGAUUAGCUAGUUGGUGGGGUAAUGGCUCACCAAGGCGACGAUCCGUAACUGGUCUGAGAGGAUGAUCAGUCACACUGGAACUGAGACACGGUCCAGACUCCUACGGGAGGCAGCAGUGGGGAAUAUUGGACAAUGGGCGAAAGCCUGAUCCAGCCAUGCCGCGUGUGUGAAGAAGGUCUUCGGAUUGUAAAGCACUUUAAGUUGGGAGGAAGGGUUGUAGAUUAAUACUCUGCAAUUUUGACGUUACCGACAGAAUAAGCACCGGCUAACUCUGUGCCAGCAGCCGCGGUAAUACAGAGGGUGCAAGCGUUAAUCGGAAUUACUGGGCGUAAAGCGCGCGUAGGUGGUUUGUUAAGUUGGAUGUGAAAUCCCCGGGCUCAACCUGGGAACUGCAUUCAAAACUGACUGACUAGAGUAUGGUAGAGGGUGGUGGAAUUUCCUGUGUAGCGGUGAAAUGCGUAGAUAUAGGAAGGAACACCAGUGGCGAAGGCGACCACCUGGACUGAUACUGACACUGAGGUGCGAAAGCGUGGGGAGCAAACAGGAUUAGAUACCCUGGUAGUCCACGCCGUAAACGAUGUCAACUAGCCGUUGGGAGCCUUGAGCUCUUAGUGGCGCAGCUAACGCAUUAAGUUGACCGCCUGGGGAGUACGGCCGCAAGGUUAAAACUCAAAUGAAUUGAC
Molecule: ribosomal RNA, 859 nt
Filed under: uncultured bacterium
Lineage: Bacteria
Description: bacterial SSU rRNA
Rfam family: Bacterial small subunit ribosomal RNA
Source: RNAcentral